This 449-nucleotide ribosomal RNA is filed under the name uncultured bacterium. RNAcentral describes it as "partial 16S ribosomal RNA". It matches the Rfam family "Bacterial small subunit ribosomal RNA", at positions 29 to 523 of the family's 1533-position model. The record is from RNAcentral.
AAUGGACGCUGGCGGCAUGCCUAACACAUGCAAGUCGAACGAUGCUUUCGGGCAUAGUGGCGCACGGGUGCGUAACGCGUGGGAAUCUGCCCUUAGGUUCGGAAUAACAGUUGGAAACGACUGCUAAUUCCGGAUGAUGACGUAAGUCCAAAGAUUUAUCGCCUGAGGAUGAGCCCGCGUAGGAUUAGGUAGUUGGUGUGGUAAAGGCGCACCAAGCCGACGAUCCUUAGCUGGUCUGAGAGGAUGAUCAGCCACACUGGGACUGAGACACGGCCAAGACUCCUACGGGAGGAAGCAGUGGGGAAUAUUAGACCAUGGGCGAGAUCCUGAUCCAGCCAUCCCGCGUGAGUGAUGAAGGCCUUAGGGUUGUAAAGCUCUUGUAGCCGUGCUGUUAAUGACAGUACCGGGAGAAUAAGCGCCGGCUAACUCCGUGCCAGCCGCCGCCGUAA